CUCAGCUCUCUUGUUCGCUAAGUUCCACUCGCUCUCCCCCCGCUUUCUCCCCCCACUCGCCACCAUGAAGAUCUUCAAGGAUGUGCUGACCGGCUCCGAGGUUGUCUGCGACAAUGACUGCCCGUUCGACGUGGAGGGCGACAUCAUGUAUGUGGUGAACGGCCGCUACAUCGACGUUGGUGGCGAGGACUACGGUAUUUCUGCCAACGUGGACGAGGACGCUGCGGAGGGCGCGACGGGCGAAGUUGCGGAGGGAAAGGAGCGCGUGGUGGAUGUGGUGUACAACAACCGGUACACGGAGACAUCGUACGACAAGGCGUCGUACAUGGCGCACAUCCGCAGCUACAUGAAGCAGCUGCUGGAGAAGAUCGAGAACGAGGAGGAGAGGAAGGUGUUCCAGACGAACGCUGCAGCGUUCGUGAAGAAGGUGCUUAAGGACAUCGACGAGUACCAGUUCUUCAUCCCGGAGGGCAACGACGAGGACCCGGACAACGGCAUGAUCGUGCUGUGCCGCUGGGACGGUGAGACGCCGAGGUUCUACUUCUGGAAGGAUGGCCUGAAGGGCGAGCGCGUCUAGACGCGUCGCUGACGAUGGCUCUGCCGCGUGUGUGAACGCACUCGUCUGCACCCACACCCCGCAACACGAACCCUUCCCUUGCUCUCCCCCGGGAGAGCCGGGUGCACGCGCGCGCUUCUCCCCCCCUCUGUGCAUGGGUGCGCUUGCUUCAUGGGCUGUGCGACGUCGGAGGUGCUGCGCGCGCCCACGCGGGUGAUCACGUCGCCCCCCUCUCCCUCUCUCUCCGAGUUGUGAGGCCCUAUCUCGCUGUCUCCGCACGUCUAUCAUUUUCCUCCUACUCAGCUAACAUAACUUUAAAAGGAGUGAGGAGGGAUGAUGCACGCACACGUGGAUAUCUUGUGUCUCUAAUGGACUCUGUUACGCCUUCUGCACCUUCGUUGUUGGGUAAAGUGCGAGGACGGCACGGGAGACAGACAGGGGUGCGUGUUUUUCUGUGCGUGUACCAUGGAGAUAGCCGAAGUCGUGGGUCAUGGCACACACGCACGCAGAAGUUUGAGUGAUGGUGCGUGUGCAGUGUGUAUGUGUGCCAUCACCACCCCCUCCCCCUGCCCCGCUCGCUCGCUCCUCCACAGGCUUUUUAUAUUUCGUUUCCUUAGAAGUGCCUCUAGUGUGCAUGUGUGCAGGCACAUAUCUGUGUGUGCACGCGUGUUUGCGUGACUGUGCGCGUGUACGGACUCCUGUGGCAAUACGAGCCCUCUUCCCCUACCUCCUUCCAUCCCCCUCCCUUCCCCCUCCACACACACACACACACACACACACACACACACACACACACACAGCAUCACCACGAAGAGGGUCGAGCCGGAGUCCGCAGACAGG
RNAcentral lists this unclassified non-coding RNA (1396 nucleotides) under Leishmania donovani. Its description in RNAcentral is "gene:LdHU3.24.1900(CDS-product:translationally_co ntrolled_tumor_protein_(TCTP)_putative)". Lineage: Eukaryota; Euglenozoa; Kinetoplastea; Trypanosomatida; Trypanosomatidae. The record is from RNAcentral.